GAAUAGCCGCCGGGUUGAACGGGUAUCAUUGAUGUUGAUAAAUACGGAGUAUUUACUUCGCUAUUCUA
RNAcentral lists this transfer RNA (68 nucleotides) under Pleurobranchaea sp. TY-2016. Its description in RNAcentral is "tRNA-Ile". Lineage: Eukaryota; Metazoa; Mollusca; Gastropoda; Pleurobranchida; Pleurobranchidae. The record is from RNAcentral.